This 165-nucleotide ribosomal RNA is filed under the name Cardamine flexuosa (woodland bittercress). RNAcentral describes it as "5.8S ribosomal RNA". It matches the Rfam family "5.8S ribosomal RNA". From Rfam's summary of the family: 5.8S ribosomal RNA (5.8S rRNA) is a component of the large subunit of the eukaryotic ribosome. The record is from RNAcentral. Lineage: Eukaryota; Viridiplantae; Streptophyta; Magnoliopsida; Brassicales; Brassicaceae. RNAcentral also lists the same sequence under 5 other names.
UAAAACGACUCUCGGCAACGGAUAUCUCGGCUCUCGCAUCGAUGAAGAACGUAGCGAAAUGCGAUACUUGGUGUGAAUUGCAGAAUCCCGUGAACCAUCGAGUCUUUGAACGCAAGUUGCGCCCCAAGCCUUCUGGCCGAGGGCACGUCUGCCUGGGUGUCACAA